This 424-nucleotide ribosomal RNA is filed under the name Verrucomicrobiota bacterium. Its description in RNAcentral is "Verrucomicrobia bacterium partial 16S ribosomal RNA". It matches the Rfam family "Bacterial small subunit ribosomal RNA", at positions 355 to 776 of the family's 1533-position model. Lineage: Bacteria; Pseudomonadati; Verrucomicrobiota. The record is from RNAcentral.
UGAGGAAUAUUGGUCAAUGGACGCAAGUCUGAACCAGCCAAGUAGCGUGCAGGAUGACGGCCCUAUGGGUUGUAAACUGCUUUUAUAUGGGGAUAAAGUGGGGAACGUGAUCCCUUUUGCAGGUACCAUAUGAUUAAGGACCGGCUAAUUCCUUGCCAGCAGCCUCGGUAAUACGUAAGGUUCGGGCGUUAUUCGGAUUUAUUUGGUUUAAAGGGAGCGUAGGCCGUUUGGUAAGCGUGUUGUGAAAUGUAGGAGCUCAACUUCUAGAUUGCAGCGCGAACUGUCAGACAUGAGUGCGCACAACGUAGGCGGAAUUCAUGGUGUAGCGGUGAAAUGCUUAGAUAUCAUGAAGAACUCCGAUUGCGAAGGCAGCUUACGGGAGCGCAACUGACGCUGAAGCUCGAAGGUGCGGGUAUCGAACAGG